CGCUGGCGGUAUGCUUUACACAUGCAAGUCGUACGAGAGUUUUUAACUCAAGUGGCGGACGGGUGAGUAACACGUAAGAAUUUGCCUUUAGGAGGGGGACAACAACUGGAAACGGUUGCUAAUACCCCAUGUGCUUUCGAGUGAAAUGGAUUUAUCCGCCUAGAGAGAAGCUUGCGGCCGAUUAGCUUGUUGGUGAGGUAAUGGCUUACCAAGGCGACGAUCAGUAUCUGGUUUGAGAGGACGAUCAGACACACUGGAACUGAGACACGGUCCAGACUCCUACGGGAGGCAGCAGUGGGGAAUUUUCCGCAAUGGGCGAAAGCCUGACGGAGCAAUACCGCGUGAGGGAUGACGGCCUAUGGGUUGUAAACCUCUUUUUUCAGGGAGGAAUCAAUGACGCGUACCUGAAGAAUAAGCAUCGGCUAACUCCGUGCCAGCAGCCGCGGUAAGACGGAGGAUGCAAGUGUUAUCCGGAAUCACUGGGCGUAAAGCGUCUGUAGGUGGUCAAAUAAGUCAACUGUUAAAUCUUGAGGCUCAACCUCAAAAUCGCAGUCGAAACUAUUAGACUAGAGUAUAGUAGGGGUAAAGGGAAUUUCCAGUGGAGCGGUGAAAUGCGUAGAGAUUGGAAAGAACACCGAUGGCGAAGGCACUUUACUGGGCUAUUACUAACACUGAGAGACGAAAGCUAGGGUAGCAAAUGGGAUUAGAUACCCCAGUAGUCCUAGCCGUAAACAAUGGAUACUAGAUGUUGAACAGAUCGACCUGUGCAGUAUCAAAGCUAACGCGUUAAGUAUCCCGCCUGG
Molecule: ribosomal RNA, 803 nt
Filed under: uncultured diatom
Lineage: Eukaryota; Bacillariophyta
Description: bacterial SSU rRNA
Rfam family: Bacterial small subunit ribosomal RNA
Source: RNAcentral